This is an RNA transcript of Mus musculus (house mouse), 6680 nucleotides long. It is a transcript of the gene named phospholipase C, eta 2, with no coding region annotated. NCBI's taxonomy places the organism in Eukaryota, Metazoa, Chordata, Mammalia, Rodentia, Muridae. The record is from RefSeq and is marked validated. The transcript is spliced from 22 exons.
UGGGGGCGAAGAGCAAUGACCUCCCGCUCAGCUCUUUGCUUUGGCUGCGUGGAGCAGCCUCGAGAUGUGGGAAGUGCUCUCGGCCCCGCCCCCUCCUGGUCCGAGGCUCCGGCCACGCAGAGGCGAGGGGGGAGGCUGCGGGUGCAUCUUUGCAGAAAGAGUACUUUGGUUGCGGCGGACGCGGGGCGGGUGCUGGCCCCGCUGUCCUCUCGGCUCCCAGUCUCUGCGCGUUGCGCUUGCCCGCGGUUCCACGUCGCGCCCCGCUCUACGCGCAGCGCAGCCGAGGGCCCCCCGGCCCCCUCCCAGCGCGGGGCGGGCAGGGGGUGUGGUGCGGGCGGCACGAGUGACAGCGCGCUCCUCGCGCGGCGCCUCCACGGGGCUCAGUGUCACAGCGCCGAACGCGCUGCGCGCACAGUCCGCCGCGGGCCGCCAGCCCUGGCGAAGCGAUGUCCUCGGAACCUUAGCCUCAGUCAGAGCCAGGCCACUGACCACCCGAGUCCGCGCCCUCGUGGCCACCUCGCUGCUGUCAACGCGGAGACAAUGGACGCGGGAGCCGCCCCGCAGAAGCACAUGGAGCGAUGCAUGAGUGCCAUGCAAGAGGGGACCCAGAUGGUGAAGCUCCGUGGCAGCUCCAAGGGAUUGGUCCGCUUCUACUACCUGGAUGAGCACCGCUCCUGCCUCCGAUGGCGUCCCUCCCGCAAGAACGAGAAAGCCAAGAUUUCCAUCGACUCCAUCCAGGAGGUGAGUGAGGGCCGGCAGUCUGAAAUCUUCCAGCGCUACCCGGACAGCAGCUUUGACCCCAACUGCUGCUUCAGCAUCUACCAUGGCAGCCACAGAGAGUCGCUGGACUUGGUCUCACCCAGCAGUGAAGAGGCACGUACCUGGGUCACCGGCCUUCGCUACCUCAUGGCUGGCAUCAGCGAUGAAGACAGCCUAGCCCGUCGCCAGCGUACCAGGGACCAGUGGCUGAAGCAGACGUUUGAUGAGGCUGACAAGAACGGGGACGGCAGCCUGAGCAUCAGUGAGGUUCUGCAGCUGCUACAUAAACUCAACGUGAACCUGCCCCGGCAGAGGGUGAAACAGAUGUUCAGGGAGGCGGACACAGAUGACCAUCAGGGGACAUUAGGCUUUGAGGAAUUCUGCGCCUUCUACAAGAUGAUGUCUACCCGCCGAGACCUCUACCUGCUCAUGCUGACCUACAGCAACCAUAAGGACCACUUGGAUGCCUCCGACCUGCAGCGCUUUCUGGAGGUGGAGCAGAAGAUGAACGGUGUGACCCUGGAGAGCUGUCAGAACAUCAUUGAGCAGUUUGAGCCUUGCCUGGAAAAUAAGAGCAAGGGGAUGCUGGGGAUUGAUGGUAGUCGUGAGCCGAGCCCAGUGAUGGAGAUACACCACGGCGCUCCUGUGUACACCGCAGGCUUUACCAACUACACCCGGAGCCCCGCCGGUGACAUCUUCAACCCUGAGCACAACAGAGUGCACCAAGACAUGACGCAGCCGCUGAGUCACUACUUCAUCACCUCGUCCCACAACACCUACCUCGUGGGUGACCAGCUCAUGUCCCAGUCUCGGGUGGACAUGUAUGCCUGGGUCCUGCAGGCCGGCUGCCGCUGUGUGGAGGUGGACUGCUGGGACGGGCCCGAUGGAGAACCCAUUGUCCAUCAUGGCUACACUCUGACCUCCAAGAUCCUUUUCAAAGAUGUCAUCGAAACCAUCAACAAAUACGCCUUCAUCAAGAAUGAGUACCCAGUGAUCCUGUCCAUUGAGAACCACUGUAGUGUUGUUCAGCAGAAGAAGAUGGCCCAGUAUCUGACUGACAUCCUCGGGGACAAGCUGGACCUCUCCUCAGUGAGCAGCGAAGAUGCCACCAUGCUUCCAUCUCCACAGAUGCUCAAGGGCAAGAUCCUGGUGAAGGGGAAGAAGCUCCCUGCCAAUAUCAGUGAGGAUGCAGAAGAAGGCGAAGUAUCUGAUGAGGACAGUGCUGAUGAGAUGGAGGAUGACUGCAAGCUCCUCAAUGGGGAUGCCUCCACCAAUCGGAAGCGUGUGGAAAACAUUGCAAAGAAGAAGCUGGAUUCUCUGAUCAAGGAGUCAAAGAUCCGUGACUGUGAAGACCCCAAUGACUUCUCUGUGUCCACACUAUCCCCCUCUGGAAAGCUUGGGCGCAAAGCAGAGGCCAAGAAGGGUCAGAGCAAGGUUGAGGAAGACGUGGAGGCCGGGGAAGACAGCGGGGUGAGCAGGCAGAAUAGCCGCCUCUUCAUGAGCAGCUUCUCCAAGCGCAAGAAAAAAGGCAGCAAGAUAAAGAAGGUGGCCAGCGUGGAAGAGGGGGACGAGACCCUGGACUCCCCAGGAAGCCAGAGCCGAGGGACUGCCCGGCAAAAGAAGACCAUGAAGCUGUCACGAGCCCUCUCGGACCUAGUGAAAUAUACCAAGUCUGUGGGGACCCAUGACGUGGAGAUAGAGGUGGUAUCUAGCUGGCAGGUGUCGUCCUUCAGUGAGACCAAGGCCCAUCAGAUCCUGCAGCAGAAGCCCACCCAGUACCUGCGCUUCAACCAGCACCAGCUCUCGCGCAUAUACCCCUCCUCCUACCGUGUGGACUCCAGCAACUACAAUCCACAACCCUUCUGGAACGCUGGUUGCCAGAUGGUUGCCCUGAACUACCAGUCAGAGGGGCGGAUGCUACAGCUGAACAGGGCCAAGUUCAGCGCCAACGGUGACUGUGGCUACGUGCUCAAACCCCAGUGCAUGUGCCAGGGUGUCUUCAACCCCAACUCGGAGGAUCCCCUGCCGGGGCAGCUCAAGAAGCAGCUGGCCCUGAGGAUCAUCAGUGGCCAGCAGCUGCCCAAACCACGGGACUCGGUGCUGGGCGACCGUGGGGAGAUCAUCGACCCCUUCGUGGAGGUGGAGGUCAUUGGGCUCCCCGUGGACUGCAGCAAGGAGCAGACCCGAGUGGUGGACGACAACGGAUUCAACCCCAUGUGGGAGGAGACACUGGUGUUCACCGUGCACAUGCCAGAGAUUGCGCUUGUACGCUUCCUGGUCUGGGACCAUGACCCCAUUGGACGUGACUUCAUCGGCCAGAGGACACUAGCCUUCAGCAGCAUAAUGCCAGGCUACCGGCAUGUGUACCUAGAAGGGAUGGAAGAGGCCUCUAUCUUUGUUCAUGUGGCUGUCAGUGACAUUAGUGGUAAGGUCAAGCAGACUCUGGGUCUAAAAGGUCUCUUCCUCCGAGGCACAAAGCCAGGCUCGCUGGACAGUCAUGCUGCUGGACAGCCCCUCCCCCGGCCCUCCGUUAGCCAGAGGCUCCUGCGGCGCACGGCCAGUGCCCCGACCAAAAGCCAGAAGCCAAGUCGCAAGGGCUUCCCAGAGCUGGCCCUGGGCACACAGGACGCAGGCUCCGAGGGGGCAGCUGAUGACGUGGCACCCUCUAGCCCCAACCCAGCUCUGGAGGCCCCUACUCAAGAGAGGUCAGGCAGCAGCAGCCCCCGAGGUAAGGCACCAGGAGGAGAAGCAACAGAAGAGAGGACACUGGCACAGGUGCGGUCCCCAAAUGCCCCCGAAGGCCCUGGACCUGCAGGGAUGGCCGCCACAUGCAUGAAGUGUGUGGUGGGCUCCUGCGCCGGUAUGGACGUUGAGGGCCUUCAAAGGGAGCAACAACCCAGCCCUGGGCCUGCAGGCAGCCACAUGGCCAUCAGCCAUCAGCCCAGGGCCCGGGUAGAUUCACUGGGGGGCCCUUGCUGCAGCCCAAGUCCUCGAGCCACCCCAGGGAGAAGCAAAGAGGCCCCCAAGGGUCCUAGGGCUCGGCGCCAGGGUCCAGGCGGCGGCUCUGUGUCCUCGGACUCCAGCAGCCCAGACAGCCCAGGCAGCCCCAAGGUGGCCCCCUGCCAGCCGGAGGGUGCUCACAGGCAGCAGGGGGCGCUGCAGGGAGAGAUGAACGCCUUGUUCGUUCAAAAGCUGGAGGAGAUCAGGAGUCAUUCCCCCAUGUUCUCCACCGGUAAGGCCUGCCGUUCCGCUGCAUCCCAUGCUCUCUACACCUGGCAUGCCUAGGCGGUCCGUGCCUGCCUGCCGCUCUCUGCUUCAUUUGUCCGUCAGCUUAGCUGUGGCCUGUCUGCCUCAGAUCCCCACCCCUGCCCUAAUGGCCCUGUACUUUGUGGGGGCGGGGGUGGGGGAAGAGGGCUGCUCGAGUCAUCAAGGCAUUUCUGAGAGCUGCUUGCUGAGGAACCCAGGGAUAUCCAGCCAGCCCUCAGCAAGGGCUUCCCUGGUGCCUGCUGGCUGCCCUGACUGGCUGCUCUGAUGGCCUACCUUCCUAGGUCUGAAAAGAUCCCAGCUCUUAGCCCUGCCUCCCCCCACCCCCACCCCCAAGGGUCAGAUGCAAGAAUGACUCUGCCUUUCGGUCCUAUGGGAGCCUGCUGUCAAUUGGUGGUGGUACCUCAGGGUAUCCCCUCUUGGAGACUCCUCAGAGACCAGGGGAGAAGGUGCUUAGAACUGAGGUCUGGGCCUCAGAGCUUAGGGGGAGCAGCUUCCAGGGACCUGCAUUGUCCAAAUGUCACUAAGCCUUUUUGUGACCCUCCUUCCUGGCUGACACUUCCUGACCUUGGAGUGUGAGGGAACUGGUCUGAGCUGGUUACUGAGCUCUAGCCUGGGCAGAGGGAGGUCCCUGGAGUCUGCCUGCUUCCAUUGUAUUCCCCCCGACCCCCGCUCCUGCCCAGCAUUGUUGUCCAUCUGUCCAUCUGCCAGUGCCCCACCACCACCACCACCACCACCAAUACACUGACUGUGUUCUCCUUUCUGUCCCUGCUCCGUGCUGCUUCCAUAGUUAGGGAUUGAGACCUGCGAGUGCCAGAUACUCGCCUCUUCCCCCUGCAGCGGCCCAUCUCCCCCCUGUGCAGCCUGGAACCCAUUGCCGAGGAACCAGCCCUGGGCCCUGGCCUCCCGUUACAGGCAGCUGCCCCCACAGGUCCAUCUCAGGAAGGGUCCCAGUGCCCUGUAGGCCUGGGAGCCAAAGUGACCAGCUCCCAGCAGACAUCUCUGGGAGCUUUUGGAACCCUCCAGCUCAGGAUUGGGGGCGGUAGGGAAAACGAAGAGCCACCCCUCAGGCCACACAAUGGUGGGAUCUCCAGCGGGCCACGUGAGGGGACUUCUGGAAGACAGACAGACAGCAAGAGCCGCUCCCGGGUCCCGGGCCACUUGCCAGUGGUUAGGAGGGCCAAGAGUGAGGGCCAGGUGCUCUCGGAGCUCUCUCCCACACCUGCAGUGUACUCGGAUGCCACGGGCACUGACAGGUUAUGGCAGCGGCUGGAGCCUGGGAGCCACAGGGACAGUGUCUCCUCAUCCUCCAGCAUGUCCUCCAACGACACCGUCAUAGACCUAUCACUGCCCAGCCUCGGCCUCUGCCGCAGCCGAGAGAGCAUUCCAGGGGUCUCUCUUGGACGCCUAACCUCACGGCCCUGCUUAGCCUCAGCUGCCCGUCCUGACCUGCCUCCUGUGACCAAGAGCAAAUCGAACCCCAACCUGCGGGUUGCGGGUGGGCUGCCUACUGCACCCGACGAGCUGCAGCCCCGGCCUCUUGCCCCGCGGCUGACCGGCCACCAUCCACGGCCACCGUGGCAUCACCUCACCCUGGUGGGCCUGCGGGACUGCCCAGUGUCUGCUAAGUCCAAGAGUCUGGGAGACCUGACAGCUGACGACUUUGCUCCCAGCUUUCAGGGCAGCACCAGCAGCCUGAGCUGCGGCCUAGGCUCCCUGGGUGUGGCGCAUCAGGUGCUGGAGCCGGGAAUACGGCGAGAUGCUCUCACGGAGCAGCUACGCUGGCUCACCGGCUUCCAGCAGGCUGGGGACAUCACGUCGCCCACCAGCUUGGGCCCAGCUGGGGACGGGUCUGUAGGGGGCCCCAGCUUCCUGAGGCGUUCCUCCUCUCGGAGCCAGAGCCGCGUGCGCGCUAUUGCCAGCCGAGCCCGCCAAGCGCAGGAGCGCCAGCAGAGGCUGAGAGGCCAGGACUCACGGGGUCCCCCAGAGGAGGAGCGGGGCACCCCUGAGGGUGCCUGUUCUGUAGGCCAUGAGGGCUGUGUGGAUGUGCCAAUGCCUGCCAAGGGAGCCCCUGAGCAGGUGUGUGGUGCUGCUGAUGGCCAGCUGCUGCUCAGGCUCUGACCCUGCCUGAUGAUUCCAACUCUGUACCUUCCCUGAGACUGCCUGCAGGGGGGAGGGGGUGGGGGCUGGCCUCAACCCGACCUUUGCUCAGGAAAUGAAGCCACUGGGUCCCCAAAGCUGUUACGCCCAUUCUUCUGUCUGUGGAAGACCCAGUAGCCUCCCCUUCAACCUUAGCUGUCCUCUUGUCUCUGAUCUUGGGAAGCAAGAAACAGCAUUGUCCACCUGUCCUUCUGGGUGGUUCCCACGUUUUAAGAUACAUAAAUAGAUAUUUAACUUUUUAGAACCAAAACUUACAGUCAAAUGGCUCUGCGUCCUUCCCCACUGGUCUGCCUGGUGUCUGGCCCUGUGGUGUGUGCUGAGUGUUUUCUUCUACCUGCUGUGUGCUUGUAUCCCGGAAUGCCUGUGACACACCCACAACUGCUAGGAUGUUUGUCCCUGUCCCCUACUCCACUGUGCACCGGGCUUGUUUUGAACAAACCACACAGCAAUUGUGUAAAUUUGGGAACACAACUCCAAUAAACGCAUCAGGCCUGUUC